UCCUACGGGAGGCAGCAGUGAGGAAUAUUGGUCAAUGGGCGAGAGCCUGAACCAGCCAAGUCGCGUGAGGGAGUACUGCCCUAUGGGUUGUAAACCUCUUUUGUCGGGGAGCAAAAGCCGGACGUGUCCGUCUGUGAGAGUACCCGAAGAAAAAGCAUCGGCUAACUCCGUGCCAGCAGCCGCGGUAGUACGGAGGAUGCGAGCGUUAUCCGGAUUUAUUGGGUUUAAAGGGUGCGUAGGCGGACAGUCAAGUCAGCGGUAAAAAUGCGGUGCUCAACGCCGUACAGCCGUUGAAACUGGCAGUC
RNAcentral lists this ribosomal RNA (305 nucleotides) under uncultured bacterium. RNAcentral's name for it is "bacterial SSU rRNA". It matches the Rfam family "Bacterial small subunit ribosomal RNA", at positions 337 to 641 of the family's 1533-position model. The record is from RNAcentral.